GGCCAAAUAGUAUUUUAUUGUGUAUAUAUGCCACAUUUUCUUUAUCCAUGCAUCCAUUGAUGGACAUUUAGGUUGAUUGAAUAACUUGAUAAUUGUGACUUGUCUGCAGUGAACGUGGAGUGCAGACUUCUCUUUGACAUACGGAUUUCAAGUCUUCUGGAUAAAUGCCCAGAAGUGGGAUUGUUGGAUCAGGAGAUAAUAUCUUAGCCGAUACCUUUUAAAUAACUCUCAGUAUCUUUACUGAGAGGUUAAAAAGAAUACUUCUGAGAGGAGAAGCUUCCACUCUGAUCUAGUCUGGCAAAAUUGAGGAAAAUAUUCUACCCUGUAAUUAAAGAAGACUGCUCUUUGGAGGGAUCACUGUUCUAGAUUUUUUUUUUUUUUUUUUUUUUUUUUUUUGAGGAGAAGUCUCACUCUUGUCCCCCAGGCUGGAGUGCAAUGGCUUGAUCUCGGCUCACUGAAACCUCCACCUCCCGGGUUCAAGCAAUUCUCCUGCCUCAGCCUCCCGAGUAGCUGGGAUUAUAGGCACCUGCCACCACGCCCGGCUAAUUUUUCCUAUUUUUAGUAGAGACGGGAUUUCACCAUGUUGGCUAGGCUGGUCUCGAACUCCUGACCUCAGGUAGUACACCCGUCUCGGCCUCCCAAAGUGCUGGGAUUACAGGCGUGAGCCACUGUGCCCAGCUCUUCUAGUUCAUUUUUAAGUGUUGAGUCCCUGCUGUUUUAAGAGAUGUUUUGGUGAAAAUCUACAUUCAGAGAGAAACAGAUUAAUCUUCCACAUUUUUAAUAAAAUACAUAUAGUACUUGGGAUUUUAAGAAAAGAAUGCCAUGUAUUAAAAGGUGCUAUUUUCAACUGUUUAUUAUUUUAAAACAGGAAUGCUUAUCAAUACUUUUGAAUUUAAGAUAAAUGUCUUGGUUAAAUUUUCUAGGCAGUUCAAAGAUGGCCAUUUGCUGGUGAAUUUUCCAAAAUAGGUAACAGAUAAAAUGAUUAUGUAAGAACUUGGCACAACAUAUCCUUUUGCCUUUAGUUGUUCAAGAAAUGAUACCAAACUCAAAGUCAUUCACUUGAAACAACUGAGAAGACCAUUCUUAGGUGUUUAGAUCCUUGCUUUUAGAAAUAUUCUUAGUUAUAUUUGUGUUUUUAAGAGUUAUUGAGUGGAUUUUUUUUCAUGAAUUUUUAAACAUUAGACUUAGCUGAAUUGAUUAAAAUAAGGUGAUUAUGAAAAAAAAUGUUGCCCUGCUUGAGGGCAUAUGGAGCCCUACAGUUACCGUUACUAAAGUCUGUGAGUAUGUCUGUUUUGAAAAGUGUCAUAAAAAGAUCUAGUCCAUAAAUCGUUAUAGGUUCAGUAAUACAUCAUUUUGAACUGAUUCUAUCUUCUGUGAAAUUCUAGAGAUAUGUUAUCUUUAGGUAAAUUAGUAAGAUUUCAGGUAUGCUGUGAAUUUUGUUACGUUUAUGUUUUCCAUUAAUGGAUAGUCAGAAAUCUUUUGAACUGCGUCUGACUAUAUUUAAAUGAUUUGGAAAGAUAGUAUCUCUCAGUUUAAACAUAGCAUCUCAUUUUGGCAAGAUACAUUAUUUUAGCUGUCUGGACUUUUCUUUGCCUUCUUAGAGUUAUUUCUGAAAUGUGCAUAGCCAGUCAUAAAAUACUUUGUAUAAAUAGCCUAGUGUAAUUUAUUUCUAAUAAAUACACAGCUUAAUGAAAUGCAUUUCUAGUUUGAACUUAAUUGCCACUUGGCUUGAUAUUAUUUUCCUUAGAAUUGUUGGAAUAGAGGAGAGAGGAAGGGAUCUACCAUUUUUAUUUAUACCACCUAAAUAGUGGACUGUUAUUUUGGACUCACUUUUAAAUAAAAUAUUUAUUCAUAUGAAGAAAUACAUUUUGUGUUUAUUAGGUUAGCAAGCAUUUAUUAUCUUUGAAAUAAUUGGAAUUUCAUUAAAAAGUGAAGCAAGUAAGAAUUGUGAUGUAAAUUUGAAAAUUUUUAAAUGGAAAUUUAAAUAUGACUUAGGAACCAUGGGCUUGUAGAAAAAAACAGUUAACAUGGGGGUUAAGAUUUUUAUAUUUGGUUGUGGCUCUGGGAUCAAUAAGGCAAGUGGUUUAGUCUUCAGUCCUCAUUUCAGAUGAGAAUAGUAUUUGUCCAAACUCUAGUCAGUGUCUGAUUGGUAUGUGUAUAACCUUAUUUUAAAAAGGAUUCAUCCCUGCCAUAUACUCAUAAUAUUUAUGUCAUAUGAUAAAUAUUGAGUAAAUAUAUACUGAAUGAAGUUUUUAGUAUAGAGUGAAGUGAAUAGAAAAAAUAUCCAUAUAACCGUGGCUAAUUUUAGGAAGUAAAUCGUGUUUCAUAAUAAGAGUCAUCCUAAACAUUUUUGUGCAUAAUUUUCUGACCCAGGGUUAAAAAUUUUUAUUUGCUUUAGUGAAAGUUUUUUCAACUCACAGGCCGCAUGUAGCCCAGGAUGGCUUUGAAUGCGGCCCCCAACACAAAUUUGUAAACUUUCCUAAAACAUGAUGAGAUUUGUUAUGAUUUUUUUUUUUUUUUUUGAUCAUCAGCUAUCAUUAGUGUUCGUGUAUUUUAUGUGUGGCCCCAGACAGUUCUUCUUCCAAUAUGGCCCAGGGAAGCCAAAAGAUUGGAGACCCCUGCUAGCAUUUAAUGCUUAUACACGUAUUUACUUGUAAAUAUGUUGUUUCUUUGAUAGGAUAUGAUUUCAACAUAAUUACGGUUUAUUUAAAAUAAGAAAAAUAAAUAACUUUCAACCAUUAAGAGGUUAUAAGACUUUAAAGGGAAAGUUUAAUAGGGUAUAAUUUCAAAAUAAUUGCUUUUUAUUUAAAAUAAGAAAAAUCAUUAAACUUCAACCAAUAACAGGUUAAAGAAUUUAAAGGUAAAAGACAUUUCAACUAAUUACAAAUACUUUGUUUUUUUUUAGUUGGGCUACAUUUUACCACUCUAGGAAUAGCUGUUAAUUAUUUUUUAUAUAGGGUAUUUUUAUGUAUUUAAUGUUGACAACUGACGUUUCCAAUAUGCAAAAACUUGCGUAACUGAGAAAAUUAUAAUAAAAAUAGAGAUUGAGAAUAUAUUUUUAACAUAUAUCCAUGAGUCAAAACUAAUAUUUAAUAUUUGGGAUUUGAAAAAUUAUUUCUGGGGUAAGAAAUUUUGUCACAAUAUAAUAUCUGUAUAUUGUGCUUUUUUUAAGAGAGAAGUUUUUGAUGAAUUGAAUGUUAAUUAAAUUUUAUCUCAGCAUAUCACCAUCAGACCAAAAGAUACAGUAUUUUUCUAACAAGGAAAAGAAAAUACAUACAUAUAUGUAUUUAUAUAUACAAAUUUGUAUAUAUGUAAUGUAUGUGUGUGUGUAUACAUAUUAAUUUCCUCUUUUUUUUUUUUUGUAAGAAUUGAGACAGGGUGUCAGUAUGUUGCGUGGGCUGGUCUUGAACACCUGCCUCAAGUGAUCCUCCCACCUUGGCCUACCAAAGUGCUGGGAUUUACCAUGAACCACUGUGCCAGCUUCCAACGAGAAAAUUAUUAAAUGUGUUGGUUUUUCACAGUGAAACUUAAUUCAGUUUAGUUGAACCAUAUAUGUGUGUGUACGGCAUAUACAAGAUGAAAAAGAAAGGGAGGAAAAAUAAUAAUGAUGGUUGCCAUCAUUCAUUGAACACCUGUAAUGUUUUAGGCAUUAUACUAGCUGAUUUACAAAUAUUGUCUCAUUUGAUGCUACAUUUAUAUUUCUGUGAGGUAGAUGUUGAUUUCUAUUUGACUGCUGAAGAAACUGAAGGUCAGGCAGGUCAGGUGAUUUGCCCAAAGUCCGCACUGUCACUAAAUGAACAUAGAUUGGUAUGACUCCCAAGCCUGUGAGUUUUUGACCAUCAUAUUCUGCCUCACUAUGAAAAGUUUAUUUAAAUUAAUUUUUUUUUAAUCAAAAGAAGUAGUAUAUGGAGAGAGAGGUGAAAAUCCAUGUUUGCUCUCUGCAGUUUCCAGACCAUUCAUGGCAUGUUAUUUUUGUACUGGAUAUAGUCAUUUUUUAAAAUGCUACAAACUGUUCAAAAGAGCAUGAACAACAUGAUAACUCCUUAUAAUUUUGUUGUAAGACAAAUGGCUAAAAGUAUGUGGGAUGUUUAAUUUGGAUAAGUGGAAAUUCUAUCACUUGAUAAGCUCUCUUGAAGAAUAAUUAUUUGAAAGAUUGGACUUAAUUCUGUAUUGCCUGAAGUGUAAAUCAGAAGUCAACAAUUAGAUUGCAAAUUAUGAAAAGCAUAACUUUUCUAAUUGUUUAGUCUUUUUAGAGAAACAAGCCCAGGAAAAAAGUAAGAUUCUCAUUCAUUGGAGAUAAGAUUUCUAUUUAUCAAAGAUACUUCAGAAGAGUUAGAUAGCAAGUAGGUAAAAUGUCUUUUAAAGGUAUCUGACAUCUUUAAAGCUCUGUGAUUUUUAAAUUCUUAAUUUUGUUACAGCUAAUUUUUUAAAAAUUAAUUGCUGAGUCAUGGUCAAGUAUUUCUGAUGACUUACAUGCUGUCUUUGAUACAUUUUAAGUUUCUAAACCAAAACUACUAUUUAAUUCUGUUACCCUGUUUUAGAAAAACAUUUGAGUUAUACAACUUACUAAAAGGUAUUUUAGCGAUGAUGUUUUGGAGCACUAGUAAUAUAGUGUUUAACUUAUUUUCUAUUUUUUAUCCCUCUAUAUUAGUGAAAUUACUUCUCUUUGAAGUUUUCCCCCAGUGAUAAAAAAAGGCUGAGCAGUAUCUGUAAAAAUUUUUAAGGUGGUGUCCACUAGGUGGAGAUAUUGUGCUACAUUUCCAAGUGUUGUAAUUAAACUUUUAUUAGUCUGAAUUAAACUCUUUUAUUUUUUAUAAUCAUUUAUAUCUAUUUAUCAUAAUGUUAUUCAAAUGUUUCCUGAGUUGUAUGAAGCUAAGAUACAGGUAAAAACAAAACAAAACAAAAACCUCACUUUGUGUUUUGUAAUCAUUAGACAAUUUAACCUAAUAUAUCUUCCCAUAUGAUAUGAUCUUUUCAUAUGGCAUACUUCAUUCAUAUGACAUAGUUAGAAUCUUUUCCCACAAACAAUGAGUGAUGAUAUCUCAUUUGAAAACUCGUGUAACAUUGUAUCAGCCACUGUUAUAAAGUGAUUUACCCAUGUUAGUCUCAUAACAACUCUAUGAGAUCAGUACCGUACACAUGGGGAAACUUAGUAUAGAGAGGUGAAGUAUUUUUUCCAAGAUUACAAAAUAGCUGUCUGAGCUGGGAUUCAUAACCAGGCAGCCUGACUCCAAAAUCAAUAUUCUUAACUCUAUUGAUAUGAUGGAGAAAGGCAUGAAGUCUAUCUUCAAAUUCAUGGCAUUUUAGAAGGAAAAAUUGUCACAGAUAAUGUGAUUAUACUUCCUAGUUUUAUAGGUCAGAAAAAUGAAGUCCACACUAAUUUUGCCUCUUCCACAAGGAGAUAGAUUCUCAUCUACCAUUGUGUCUUUUGUUUCUGUUUUUGUCAUCAUACCUCAAAUUGAUAUAUGUUGUAAAUAUGAAUUUAAGGAAGUAAAAAAAAUAACUCAGGGCUGGAGCCUUCAGCCAUAUUAAUAUACAUUGACAUAAAGACCUUUGUUUUAAUAUGAAUGAUUCCAGUUACCAAAUGGAGAAAUAGUUGUUUGAAAAUUAAUAUUUAGCUUCUCAAAAGAGACUCCUAUUUGGAAGCAAAUUGUUGGUUAAACAGGACAUACUUUAGAUUUUUGAAAAAUUCUCUGUGGAAUAACAAUCUCUUAUUUUUAAGAAUGUAUGAAUAUGUGUUCUAUAUGCUUUUAAGUUAUGUAUUACAUACUGUUCUCUAAAAUGGAAAUGUUUAUUUGGCUUCUAAAAGUCAUUUGUGAGUUCAUGUUAUUUAAAACUGCUUUUCAGUCAACUUAUUCUUUAUAAAAAAAGUUUGUUCAAAUAGCAUGUUUUUAUUUCAUUUCUAAAUAAAUUCAUGUUUGAUAAUA
RNAcentral lists this long non-coding RNA (5927 nucleotides) under Homo sapiens (human). RNAcentral's name for it is "HSALNT0367605". The record is from RNAcentral. Lineage: Eukaryota; Metazoa; Chordata; Mammalia; Primates; Hominidae.